UCAAGACAUGUAUUGCAGCUGUUAAAAACUGAAUUUCCACCAAUAAAAUUUAAAAAGUCAAAUUCAAUAAAAUAAUUUGGUACUAUAAAUUAGCUCUACCUGAGUCUUCAUCCGCAUGAGUUCCAGGAGCCACUUUUAUAUCUACCACAAACAGAGCAUUGCUAAUGAACUACGGAUACCAGAUGAACCACAAGUGACACAUCGACGUUAAUUGAACCCCAUCGGAUUCCAAAUUGAAAAUCAGAAGCAGAAAUCCAUUUUUAAGAUUCAAUUGAGAUUCCAGCUCCUAAAUCUUCCUCCUUAGCCUCUUUUUAGCUUCUCUGUGUUGUUCUUUCUUAUUUCUGCCUUUCCCAUCAACUUCCCUCCAUGUGUGUACUUUUUGAGAAUUUUUGAUGGUGAAUUAAGUGUGUAUAUCGAUGAAGUCAGAGAGAAACGAGAAGGGAAGGAGUGUGUGAUGGAUCUGAUUUGGGUGGCAAAGAGGGGCGGGGGAUAGCUAUGUUCAGACAAUGGCUGCUGCUCUUAGGGUGUCUUCGGUUGUGAGAUGUUAGUUUUUCG
RNAcentral lists this long non-coding RNA (555 nucleotides) under Nicotiana benthamiana. Its description in RNAcentral is "long non-coding RNA (NBEN_LNC040624)". Lineage: Eukaryota; Viridiplantae; Streptophyta; Magnoliopsida; Solanales; Solanaceae. The record is from RNAcentral.